Molecule: ribosomal RNA, 1294 nt
Filed under: Cryptocotyle lingua
Lineage: Eukaryota; Metazoa; Platyhelminthes; Trematoda; Opisthorchiida; Heterophyidae
Description: eukaryotic LSU rRNA
Rfam family: Eukaryotic large subunit ribosomal RNA
Source: RNAcentral
AAAAGCAACUAACAAGAUUCCCUCAGUAACGGCGAGUGAACAGGGAAAAGCCCAGCACCGAAGCCUGUGGCCAUUUGGUUACUAGGCAAUGUGGUGUUCAGGUCGUUCCGCGGAGGUACUGCUCCAUUCCAAGUCCAGCAAUGAGUACGGUAAUGCUGACAUGGCCCAAAGAGGGUGAAAGGCCCGUUGGGGUGGAGUUGCAGUUAUGACAGUGCCUUCCUGGAUAGACCUUGGAGUCGGGUUGUUUGUGAAUGCAGCCCAAAGUGGGUGGUAAACUCCAUCCAAGGCUAAAUACUAACACGAGUCCGAUAGCGAACAAGUACCGUGAGGGAAAGUUGAAAAGUACUUUGAAGAGAGAGUAAACAGUGCGUGAAACCGCUCAGAGGUAAACGGGUGGAGUUGAACUGUGAACUCUGUGAAUUUAGCUGGUGAGUGUUGUUUGGGCUUGGCCAAAUUGGUUGAUACUUGGGGUCUGCGAAGUAGCAGGUCUCCGCCAUUCGGUGGGGAUGCGCGAUACACUUAUCAAGUGUUGCGCGCUCCAGGUUUAUUCGGGCCAGCUUGCCAGUGCACUUUUGCAGAGUGGUCACCACGACCGGCAUCGCUGUCUGGCUGUUGUGGUUAAACCGGCCGCGCAUUGCCCUUGUGGCUUUGUUUGGUCGGGAUGGCAGGUAGCUCGUUGACUAGCUUGUGGCUUGCUGCAGGCAUUGGUCCUCGAGUGUAAUAAGCUGACCGCAUCGGUUCUGUGCAGUAUGUCGGAGACGGCGGCUUGUGGUGUGUGCGUGCGUUCCAGUUGGCUGGCGUGUCCGGGUUUGGUUGUUAUCUUGCCUGUGUAUACAGGGCUAAUGAUAGCUCGGAUUCGUUCGGUCGGCGGUUGCGUGCGUGUCACUAUUUCCAGGGCCAAUAGUCUGUGGUGUUGCGGUAGACUAUCCACCUGACCCGUCUUGAAACACGGACCAAGGAGAGUAACAUGUGCGCGAGUCAUUGGGCGUAACGAAACCCAAAGGCGAAGUGAAAGUAAAGGUCUGGCUUGUCUGGACUGAGGUGAGAUCCUGUCGUUUCUCAUGCGCGGUAUCACCAAGCAUCGAGCGGCAGGCGCAUCACCGGCCCGUCCCAUGGUGUGGUGACCCUUUCGUAGAGUUUGUCACCGGGGCGGAGCAUGAGCGUACAUGUUGAGACCCGAAAGAUGGUGAACUAUGCUUGCGCAGGUUGAAGCCAGAGGAAACUCUGGUGGAGGACCGCAGCGAUUCUGACGUGCAAAUCGAUCGUCAGACGUGAGUAUAGGGGCGAAAGACUA